GCGACCGUUAGUUAAGCUAUGUCCGUUGCCGUUUUCAGCCACGGAGCACUAUUUUUUUUUUCUUUAGUCGCGGGAGGAUGUUCGGGAUUCUCCCCCAUAGUUCGCAGGAAAUAUUUGGGCUAUUAAAAUGGGAUUAUUUAAAUCAAAAUAACAUGUAAAUGUAAAUUUAACUGCAAGUCGUUAAACUACGAACAGAGAUUGACCCUUAUUGAAAAAUACUGCAGAACCUGAAGUCCGUGGAUCGUACAUCAUGGGCUUAAUACAUUUAACUAACGUAAGGAGUAGAAGGCAUGGCUCAUACAAAUACCCUCGUGAUAGUCACCGUCAAUGUGCCACUCACUAUAGCCUUCCAGACGGAGAGGGUAAGGUUGUAGUUGUAUGUAAAUAUACUUUUAUGAAUACUUUCGAUUUGACAAAAAAGUAUUUGGAAACUAUUAUACCAAAGAAAAAAAGCCGCAAAAUCGUUUAUAAAGACAUGAAAACUCAUACAGCUCCUUGAAAAAUUACGCAGGGUGAUAGGCAACUUGUUAGAGAGCAUAUAAUCUCAUUAUUCGUGCGUAUGUAAAUCUACUUUUAUAAAUACUUUCGAUUUGACAAAAAACUAUUUGGAAACUAUUAUACGAAAGAAAAAAAGCCUCAAAAUCGUUUAUAAAGACAUGAAAACUCAUACAGCUCCUUGAAAAAUUACGCAGGGUGAUAGGCAACUUGUUAGGGACCAUAUAAUCUCAUUAUUCGUGCGUAUGUAAAUCUACUUUUAUGAAUACUUUUCAUUUGACAAGAAAGUAUUUGGAAACUAUUAUACGAAAGAACAAAAGCCGCAAAAUCGUUUAUAAAGACAUGAAAACUCAUACAGCUCCUUGAAAAAUUACGCACUGUGAUAUGCAACUUGUUAGAGAGCAUAUAAUCUCAUUAUUCGUGUGAAAAAAGUGCAAAAGAAUAUUUAAGUCCAGAUUUAAAUGUGAACCGCCGUUUUUGCAGCAAUAUUGGUCAACUACAAGUUUUACAAAAAGAUGUUAAAAGAAGACUUUCCAAAUGUUUCAUUUAGAGGACGUCGAAGUGACACCUGUCGUAAAUGUGACUCGUUAAAUUGCGAAAUAAAACCGCAGUGCGAAAGAAGUCGGGCAGCAAAGUUCUCAAUAUUAGCAUUAGAGAAAAAAGAAUGUUGCUGUUUGGAGUGAUAACUUGAGUUGUGGACUCUUUGACACUAUUGAACAUAGGUACGUUGUUACUGAUCAUAGCUUCCUUCAGUGCGAUAGAGUUUGCGCGUUGAUCGACAAAAGAAAGCGCAAGUGCGUUCCGAUGGUACAUGAUGACUUACACAAUGUAAUACUGUCAAGUACACAUACAGGCCGAUUUGAGAUAGUAGAUAUGACAAAAAAAAUUUUUUGAUCUACAAACGGCAGCUGACAAGAUACUAAAUCUCAAACAAGUGGCUAUUAGCAAAGUCGUUCGAAUGAAAGUUGACUCCCAAAGAACUGGCUUUUUGUCUACUGCUGAAUCAAGAAAGGAAAAACCAUAGAAGAUAUUACAAAUAUAUAAGUUAGGCUGCUACCAGACAUGAAUAAGGUCGGUGAGAACAAGAAACGGCACCUAAUAUCAAUGAUUCCUUAUCUAAAAGACCCUAAGCACCAUUUUAUUCUAAUUUGACCACUGGCACUUAUCCGUUUCUUAUUUUUCUUAAAUAUUUAUAAAAAAAUAAUUUUUUCCUUGUUUUUUGUGUCGCAGCUUAUUUACUCGUACGCCAAGUAACAUGUUUAUUUUUUGAAAAUAAAAUGUUUUUUAUUUUGGUAAGAAAUUUUUUUUUA
Cylas formicarius (sweet potato weevil) is the source of this 1805-nucleotide long non-coding RNA. RefSeq lists it as uncharacterized. Lineage: Eukaryota; Metazoa; Arthropoda; Insecta; Coleoptera; Brentidae. The record is from RefSeq and is a predicted model, not a curated record. The transcript has 3 exons.